RNAcentral lists this long non-coding RNA (260 nucleotides) under Callithrix jacchus (white-tufted-ear marmoset). RNAcentral's name for it is "lncRNA (ENSCJAG00000055897.2)". The record is from RNAcentral. Lineage: Eukaryota; Metazoa; Chordata; Mammalia; Primates; Cebidae.
CCUCUGCUUCUCAGUUAACUUCUCACAGCAACAUCCUGUCACCGAGAUUGUUUCUUCCAUAUUUGGAGACAAGAAAACAGUGACUCAGCUCUCUCUAAGGAAGCGACAUAUAAGUCAAGCAUGAAAGAUGAAGAGGAGCAGAUUGUAUGCAGAGCAGAGGGAAGAGCAAGCUGAUGGAGGAGACUAACCAGUGAGCUUGAUGGUAAGUGCUCAAGGAAGCCCAGCUUUCUCAACAUCACCAACUGCUCAGAAGCCUUCAG